RNAcentral lists this ribosomal RNA (253 nucleotides) under uncultured bacterium. RNAcentral's name for it is "partial 16S ribosomal RNA". It matches the Rfam family "Bacterial small subunit ribosomal RNA", at positions 524 to 776 of the family's 1533-position model. The record is from RNAcentral.
UACGUAGGCAGCGAGCGUUGUUCGGAGUUACUGGGCGUAAAGCGUGCGUAGGCGGUGUCUUAAGUUUGUUGUGAAAUCUCCCGGCUUAACCGGGAGGGUGCGGCGAAUACUGAGAUGCUGGAGUGCCGGAGAGGUAAGCGGAAUUCCUGGUGUAGCGGUGAAAUGCGUAGAUAUCAGGAGGAACACCUGCGGUGUAGACGGCUUACUGGACGGUAACUGACGCUGAGGCACGAGAGCGUGGGUAGCAAACAGG